UCUUCAUAUCUCAGCUCUCUUUCUUUCUUUCUUUUUAUUCUCCAAUUUUCCAUUUUCCUUUGCUAUUUCAAGCAAAGUCAUCACUUUUUACUUAUAUACAACCUGCCUACCUACUAGAUCUUGUUGUUGGAUACAAAACUUACUUGAUCAAGGAACAGAAAGAAUAUGGGUUUGUAAACCGCUAGCUAGCUGCAGGCUUGUAUGAAAGCCAUGAAGAAGCCAUUAAAAGGGAAGAAGUACUAGGGAGAUUACACCAAUGAAACAAAGAAACCAGAAGCAAAGUAAUUCAAAAGUUAGACGCAACACUGUACCAAAUUUGCCUAGUUUGAAGCAUUAGUCAAGACCAUAUGCCGCAAAUAUUUGAGGAUGGGGAAGAUAGUGAAUCAAAUGAUUAGAUUGUAGUGGUAGGCUUUUGUUUAUGAUUGUGACAUUUAGACUUAAACUAUUAGAAUUGAUUUUGUGUUUUGGAUUGUGACAUUUGGACUAGUAUUGAAAUGCUUAAACUAUUUGA
Long non-coding RNA from Capsicum annuum, 511 nucleotides. RefSeq lists it as uncharacterized. The transcript has 3 exons. NCBI's taxonomy places the organism in Eukaryota, Viridiplantae, Streptophyta, Magnoliopsida, Solanales, Solanaceae. The record is from RefSeq and is a predicted model, not a curated record.